Cyprinus carpio (common carp) is the source of this 1678-nucleotide long non-coding RNA. The record is from Ensembl. NCBI's taxonomy places the organism in Eukaryota, Metazoa, Chordata, Actinopteri, Cypriniformes, Cyprinidae.
CCACUUUUUUUCCCCUUUAUCUUUUACAAAACAUUGUAGAAGCCUAACAUGUAAUGCAUCACAUAUGUCUACUCUUCCCAUGUACCUGUUGUAAUGCAGCACAGGCUCUGGGAUGUGAAUGGCCUUGUCCAAAGACCCUCGUUAAACUUCCAGUUCACCCUGUCUCUGUCAGGGUUAUGGACCUGUUUUGUGUUUCUUUGUUCCAUGUACUCCAUGUCCUGGUUUUCCCAUGUGUUUCCUUAUGCCCUUAUUUGGUCCUUUGUGUUCCCAUUGUGUUCCCUGAUUAGUUCAUCAUUUGUUUCCAGCUGUGUUUUGUUCAUUAUCUUAAUUUGCACCAGUAUUUAAAGUGUAGUCUGCCCUGUCUUCCUAUGUUCGGUAUUGUUUAUGUCAACCUCCUCCGUGUGUUUUCCUGGUUCCCUUGAUGUUAUUAAAGUCUCCUUGUUCAUGUACUCCAUGUCUCAUGGUCAUCAUCUGAUUCCUCACUCCACGCUCCCCCACAGUAGCAAUCAAGACAGAAUAUGUGAAAUACCCACAGAGAGCUCCCCUUUGUGGAGUAUGCAUGGGAGUUCUGCAAGAUUACUGCUAAAACAGUGCUGGAUGAUGCCAUGCUCAACUCUCUGUUCUGGAUCGGGGCCAAUUGCUAUUGCCCCGUGGACCUCCCAGACACUACAGGACUGAGCUGGAGGGAAGGGAUCCUCCGGUUCUGUAGAGUGUCCAGCCCCGAUCCAGAACUAGCCUGCCGUCCAGCCCUAAAGGGGUAUCUAAGGAGGAGAAGGCUGUUGGUUCUAGUCCCUAGGUCUGCUCCAGUGUCGGCUCUAGACCCAUAGCUCGCUCCAGUGUCAACUCCAGCCCCCGAAACUACCCCAAAGAGGGCUCCUGUUCAUUAGAUUAGCCCACAGAGAGCUCCAGUCCCCGAGUUUAGCCCAGUGAGGGCUACUGACCCCCAGUUUAGCACAGAGAGGGCUCCAGUCCCCGAGUCUAGCACAGAAAGGGCUCCAGUUCCCAUGUCAAGCCCAAGGAGGGCCUCUAAAGAUGAUAUUCUCCUCAAUUAUUUUAUUUUAUUUUAUUUUAUUUUAUUUUAUUUUAUUUUAUUUUAUUUUAUUUUAUUUUAUUUAUUUUUUUAUUUAUUUUUUUUUGGGGGGGGGGGUUGGUAGUAAGGGUCCAUAGUAGUAGGGAGGCCAGGCUCCAUGAGCUCCCUGUUCCGCCAUGGCCUCCUGAACUGCCUGCUCCACCAUGGCUUCCUGAGCUUCCUGCUCUGCCAUGGCCCCUGAGCUCCCUGUGCCACCAUGGUACCCUGGACUGCCUGAUCUGCCCUAGAGGUAUUCCCUGUGUCCCAGUCCUGCACCAGCCUACAGGGCACACACCCACCUUCCAUGGCGAAAUUGAUACGGUGCGGAAUUCGCCUUCCAGGAGGGGGGGAGCGAUGUCAGGGUUAUGGACCUCUUUUGUGUUUCUUUGUUCCAUGUACUCCAUGUCCUGGUUUUCCCAUGUGUUUCCUUAUGCCCUUAUUUGGUCCUUCCUGUUCCAAUUAUGUUCCCUGAUUAGUUAAUCAUUUGUUUCCAGCUGUGUUUUGUUCAUUAUUUUAAUUUGCUCCAGUAUUUAAAGUGAUGUCUGCCCUGUCUUCCUCCUUCCGGUAUUUUUUAUUUCAACUUCCUCUGCUAUGUGUGUUUUCCUGGUU